This 481-nucleotide ribosomal RNA is filed under the name uncultured bacterium. Its description in RNAcentral is "partial 16S ribosomal RNA". It matches the Rfam family "Bacterial small subunit ribosomal RNA", at positions 28 to 507 of the family's 1533-position model. The record is from RNAcentral.
GAUGAACGCUGGCGGCGUGCUUAACACAUGCAAGUCGAACGAAGCACUUUAUUUGAUUUCCUUCGGGACUGAUUAUUUUGUGACUGAGUGGCGGACGGGUGAGUAACGCGUGGGUAACCUGCCUUGUACAGGGGGAUAACAGUUGGAAACGGCUGCUAAUACCGCAUAAGCGCCCAGCAUCGCAUGAUGCAGUGUGAAAAACUCCGGUGGUAUAAGAAGGACCCGCGUUGGAUUAGCUAGUUGGUGAGGUAGCGGCCCACCAAGGCGACGAUCCAUAGCCGACCUGAGAGGGUGACCGGCCACAUUGGGACUGAGACACGGCCCAAACUCCUACGGGAGGCAGCAGUGGGGAAUAUUGCACAAUGGGCGAAAGCAUGAUGCAGCGACGCCGCGUGAGCGAAGAAGUAUUUCGGUAUGUAAAGCUCUAUAAGCAGGGAAGAUAAUGACGGUACCUGACUAAGAAGCACCGGCUAAAUACGUG